CUGGGGUGAUGAAGAAAGAGUCUCUGGAACAAAAUGGUUGGCCCCUCUUUCCAGAAGGAAUAGAGUGAGGACGUAAAAGAGACAGCAGUAUCCUUUGAGGCAGGAGUGAUGGGAUGGCUGGUCCGCAGAAAGCCAGGAUAGGUAACAAAGCUAGGCUGACACACUUUAGAGAGCUGAGUGGUCUACUGGAAGGCCGACAGAGUUUCUUCAUGCUGGCUGUCCACAUCAGGAAGGGACUACUUUUUAAGUAGUAUCCUUGGUGGACAAUGAGCCCCUGCUCCACCUGGAUCCCCUCUGUAGACACAGCAUCCUAGUGGCUGGGGUGUUGAGUGCAACCCUGAAGCUGAGCCAGCCCCAGGGGAGAGAUACCAAACUGACAGAUGGUUGGAGAAGAGUAAAUAGUAGCCUACAACCCCUUCUUAAGCAGAACUCCCAAGAGAAGAAAGUAAUUUCCAUCAUGGCUUAUGAUGAAUUCCCAAGCAGCUCUACUGCUGUGUGCUAAAUGAAUAAGUGACUGUUAAGUGGAAUUGCCCUUUUGUGACUAUUACUAUCUAGUGCAAAUUUCCUGCCAAAGGGCUGUGCCAGCUUACAUUGUCACAGGAAAUGGGACCUGCUUCCCUAUAGACUUGGGUAUUCUUAUUUUAAACAAUUUUGCCUGAGUUAAUACCAUUCUCAUUUUAAUUUGCAUUUCUUUGCUUAUUAGUGAGGCUAAAUGCUAUUUUCCCAGAUUUGUGUUCCUUUUUGAGUGACUCUAUAACCUGAUUAUGAAAAUGGGGGAGAGAAGUUCCCUUGAGACACCAGUGAGAAGAGAAGGGUAAGAAAGGAAAAAGGAAAGAUUGGAGAAAGAGAAAGCUCCUUAGACUAAAGUUGGAGUAGGACAAAACACACAGAAUCUGGAGUCACUUCCCCCAAUUUCCCAUUUCAACUGCAACUCUACCACUUUAUACGUAUGUGACCUUGGGCAAAUCACUUAAUUUUACCCAUAAAAUAGAUAAUAGUUCUUGAUUCAUAAGACAUUAUAAAGAUUAAAUAAAUUAAUGUAUGAAAAGUACCUCAAUUAACAAUGAAAAAGUACCUCAGCCUAAUAAUUACUAUAAUAAUUAUUAUAAAUACAUCAUUGNNNNNNNNNNNNNNNNNNNNNNNNNNNNNNNNNNNNNNNNNUUUCUAUUAAUAUAAUUAUUAUCCAAGCACUAACCUAGACAGUUUGCACAGGUACCUAAGAUGAUAGAAUAAAGCAGAAAGACAAUGAGUGGAGUAUCUGAAACUGGACACACCUGGAAAUGAAUCUU
This 1289-nucleotide long non-coding RNA is filed under the name Capra hircus (goat). RNAcentral's name for it is "lncRNA (ENSCHIG00010027651.1)". Lineage: Eukaryota; Metazoa; Chordata; Mammalia; Artiodactyla; Bovidae. The record is from RNAcentral.